UAGGGAAUAUUCCGCAAUGGGCGAAAGCCUGACGGAGCAACGCCGCGUGAGUGAAGAAGGUCUUCGGAUCGUAAAGCUCUGUCAACAGGGACGAAACAAGACGGUACCUGAGAAGGAAGCCACGGCAAACUACGUGCCAGCAGCCGCGGUAAUACGUAGGUGGCAAGCGUUGUCCGGAAUAACUGGGCGUAAAGCGCAUGUAGACGGCAUGAUAAGCCAAAUGUGAAAUGUAGGGGCUCAACCCCUACAC
RNAcentral lists this ribosomal RNA (250 nucleotides) under uncultured bacterium. RNAcentral's name for it is "partial 16S ribosomal RNA". It matches the Rfam family "Bacterial small subunit ribosomal RNA", at positions 355 to 621 of the family's 1533-position model. The record is from RNAcentral.